UCGAUCUGUUCAAAUUCAACAAAAUGCGUAAAGUUUCAAAACGAUGUUGAAAUAUUCAAAAUAAAUGAGUCUUGGAAAAUCCAUGUACAAAAGUGCUGUUUAAAAUCCGAAGAUGAUCAGGCCAAAAGACGCAUAAAACAAAGAAACUUCUAAGAUGGCAUCAGUAAGAAAAAUAAAACAAACUCGUUUAUUUUUUAAUUUUAAUGAUAUUUUAGUUGUUUAUUAUGUUUGAAUUGAAAUUACAAGAGGAUUUCCUUAAAAAGAUGAUAUUGCUUAAUUAAAACUAAAAAAAAAAACAUUAAAGAACACAAAAAAUCUAAGGAAUUAUCUUAAAACCUCACAACUAAACCAAAAUAGAAAAAAUAAAAUGGAGAUUGCAAUGAGACAAAAUGUAAUAAAUAAACACAUGUUAAAAAAAAUGAGAAUACUAAAAGAAAA
Molecule: long non-coding RNA, 438 nt
Organism: Calliphora vicina (urban bluebottle blowfly)
Lineage: Eukaryota; Metazoa; Arthropoda; Insecta; Diptera; Calliphoridae
Exons: 2
Source: RefSeq, a predicted model, not a curated record